ACGCGAAGAACCUUACCUGGACUCGAAAUCUAGUUGACAGUCUCAGAGAUGAGAUCUUCCCGCAAGGGACGGCUGGAUAGGUGCUGCAUGGCUGUCGUCAGCUCGUGUCGUGAGAUGUUGGGUUAAGUCCCGCAACGAGCGCAACCCUUACCCUUAGUUGCUAAUCCGCAAGGAAAGCACCCUAAGGGAACUGCCUCGGAUAACGAGGAGGAAGGUGGGGAUGACGUCAAGUCCUCAUGGCCUUUAUGCCCAGGGCUACACACGUGCUACAAUGGCCGGUACAAACCGUCGCAAACCCGCGAGGGGGAGCCAAUCGGAAAAAACCGGUCUCAGUUCGGAUUGCAGGCUGCAACUCGCCUGCAUGAAGCUGGAAUCGCUAGUAAUCGCGGAUCAGAACGCCGCGGUGAAUACGUUCCCGGGCCUUGUA
Molecule: ribosomal RNA, 427 nt
Filed under: uncultured Acidobacterium sp.
Lineage: Bacteria; Pseudomonadati; Acidobacteriota; Terriglobia; Terriglobales; Acidobacteriaceae
Description: bacterial SSU rRNA
Rfam family: Bacterial small subunit ribosomal RNA
Source: RNAcentral